Larimichthys crocea (large yellow croaker) is the source of this 1870-nucleotide long non-coding RNA. RefSeq lists it as uncharacterized. Lineage: Eukaryota; Metazoa; Chordata; Actinopteri; Sciaenidae. The record is from RefSeq and is a predicted model, not a curated record. The transcript has 3 exons.
CCUGUGUGCAUCUCCUUCACAUUGUUUUAUUAGCUUCAGUUACUGCAGCUUCAUUUUAAAGCAGGAUGCUGGUUUUCUGUGCGUGGAUUAAUCCGCCGCUGGAAAUAGUCCCGAACACGUGAACCUACAGACGAGUUGUUUUCAUGAACCUACAGACGAGUUGUUUUCACGUGAACCUACAGACGAGUUGUUUUCACGUGAACCUACAGACGAGUUCUUUUCACGUGAACCUACAGACGAGUUGUUUUCACGUGAACCUGUCUGUACCGUUAGAGACUCAGGGGUCGACGGGCUCGAGCUGACGACAUGAACUCACACUUUGUUGGUUUGAUGAUGUAGGAGUCAUCUCAUUGGCUGAGAGCUGCUGAGCGGCUGCUCGGUGACGUGAGGCGGCCCGGCUCCAGAUCUGUGUCCCUGAUGAGUCGGACUUUCUAAACAUCGAGUAGGUUCCAUCUUUCAGGCUUUGUCGUCUCUUCGCAUCAUCGUCAUCAUCAUUAGUGGCGGGCAGGUGGGGCCACCUCUGGUUAACCCACUGCGUCACAGUGUCCCUCACAAAUAAUGAAGAGAGCUGUUGGCGCUCGGCUGUGAAAGCCAAAGCGACGGCUAGCAGCCCCAGCUCAGGUGUGACGGAGGCAGAGAGAAAUCUGUGGAGAGACACCUGAGGAGUCCAGACUGUCCAGGUGUGACGUGACAAAGACUCAGACGGAGGUGUGCACCUGCAGGUGAUCCAGAGCUGUGAAAUGAACUCUGAUCUUAUCGAUGUUCUCGGUUGGCUGAAAAGAGUUCUGCUUCCCGUCUUCAUAUUUUGAGCAAACCUCUGGUGUCAGAGGUCGGUCUGUGUUUCAGACCCCCUCGCUUCACCCCGUCCUUCUUAAGGUGGAGGAGAAACUACAGCAGCUGUGAAGGUCCAGUCCACCUUUAGUUCGUCUGGUCUGCACAUGGCGGUUCAACAUGGCGGACUCUGCAGAGGACCCGCGGCGUCUCGUUCCGUCAUGGCUCGUUCGAGAUGUCACCUGAUUGAUCUCAUGACGUCGUUGCCAUGACGACGCCCUGGCGACUGUUCGCCUCUUUCUUCCUUCGUGUCUCCGUCUUUGCCCCUCGGGGAUCUCUGCCAUGUGGCGCAGGCUCAGGGGACACACAGGUGUGUCUUCAUCUGUUCCCUGCCUGUCUUCCCUUUCUUCUUCUUCUCUGCGUACCUUUAAUUCCUUCCUCUUCCUGUCUCUCACACCUUUACACACACACACACACACACACUCUCGACCGGCCUUUUUCUUCCCACUUUCCGUCGUUUUGACAACCUUAAAGGCAGCAACCUGCUCUGCUCCGGCUGCACCUGCUGCCUCGCUAAUUGAACCGACGGAGAGGAGGAACAAACGAGAGGAGAGAGGAGAGAUGGCGGGAUGGAGGAAGAGAGAGAUGAACAGACUGUCUUGAUGAGUGUGGCGGGGGCCAACACACUUCCUGUCUCCCUCUUCUUCUUCUUUUAUCACACACACACAUUUCCAGUGCCAUCUGUAGCCCCGCACACACACACACACACACACACACACACACACACAGGGCAGAGGAUGAACUUGGAGUGAACUGUGGAUGUCCACAGUGUCCUCUGCUCGCUGUCAGCGGAGACAGAAACUUGUGCCUUUUUCUGCUUGUUUUCUCCUCUAACUCUACAAACACACACACACACACACACACACACACACGCUCGCCUUUCCUUGAACCCUCCAGCAGCUUGCGCCUCCUCUUCUGUCACUUUGGCUGUCGUCCGUUGGUGUGACCUCUGUUGUUCGCGUUGUCAGAAUCUGCCAUCAUCGCGUCUCUCAGACUGUCGUUUCUUCUCUGGUUAUUUAUUCCUCUUUUUUUUUUCUUC